This 416-nucleotide ribosomal RNA is filed under the name uncultured prokaryote. Its description in RNAcentral is "bacterial SSU rRNA". It matches the Rfam family "Bacterial small subunit ribosomal RNA", at positions 505 to 918 of the family's 1533-position model. The record is from RNAcentral.
GUGUCAGCCGCCGCGGUAAUACGUAGGGUGCAAGCGUUGUCCGGAAUUAUUGGGCGUAAAGAGCUCGUAGGCGGUUCGUCGCGUCGGCUGUGAAAUCCCGAGGCUCAACCUCGGGCCUGCAGUCGAUACGGGCGGACUUGAGUUCGGCAGGGGAGACUGGAAUUCCUGGUGUAGCGGUGAAAUGCGCAGAUAUCAGGAGGAACACCGGUGGCGAAGGCGGGUCUCUGGGCCGAAACUGACGCUGAGGAGCGAAAGCGUGGGGAGCGAACAGGAUUAGAUACCCUGGUAGUCCACGCCGUAAACGUUGGGCGCUAGGUGUGGGGCUCAUUCCACGAGUUCCGUGCCGCAGCUAACGCAUUAAGCGCCCCGCCUGGGGAGUACGGCCGCAAGGCUAAAACUUAAAGGAAUUGACGGGG